This 2826-nucleotide ribosomal RNA is filed under the name Escherichia coli TOP550-1. RNAcentral's name for it is "bacterial LSU rRNA". It matches the Rfam family "Bacterial large subunit ribosomal RNA". The record is from RNAcentral. Lineage: Bacteria; Pseudomonadati; Pseudomonadota; Gammaproteobacteria; Enterobacterales; Enterobacteriaceae.
AGCGUACACGGUGGAUGCCCUGGCAGUCAGAGGCGAUGAAGGACGUGCUAAUCUGCGAUAAGCGUCGGUGAGGUGAUAUGAACCGUUAUAACCGGCGAUUUCCGAAUGGGGAAACCCAGUGUGUUUCGACACACUAUCAUUAACUGAAUCCAUAGGUUAAUGAGGCGAACCGGGGGAACUGAAACAUCUAAGUACCCCGAGGAAAAGAAAUCAACCGAGAUUCCCCCAGUAGCGGCGAGCGAACGGGGAGGAGCCCAGAGCCUGAAUCAGUGUGUGUGUUAGUGGAAGCGUCUGGAAAGGCGUGCGAUACAGGGUGACAGCCCCGUACACAAAAAUGCACAUAUUGUGAGCUCGAUGAGUAGGGCGGGACACGUGGUAUCCUGUCUGAAUAUGGGGGGACCAUCCUCCAAGGCUAAAUACUCCUGACUGACCGAUAGUGAACCAGUACCGUGAGGGAAAGGCGAAAAGAACCCCGGCGAGGGGAGUGAAAAAGAACCUGAAACCGUGUACGUACAAGCAGUGGGAGCCUCUUAAUGGGGUGACUGCGUACCUUUUGUAUAAUGGGUCAGCGACUUAUAUUCUGUAGCAAGGUUAACCGAAUAGGGGAGCCGAAGGGAAACCGAGUCUUAACUGGGCGUUAAGUUGCAGGGUAUAGACCCGAAACCCGGUGAUCUAGCCAUGGGCAGGUUGAAGGUUGGGUAAAGCCAUGGGCAGGUUGAAGGUUGGGUAACACUAACUGGAGGACCGAACCGACUAAUGUUGAAAAAUUAGCGGAUGACUAAUGUUGAAAAAUUAGCGGAUGACUUGUGGCUGGGGGUGAAAGGCCAAUCAAACCGGGAGAUAGCUGGUUCUCCCCGAAAGCUAUUUAGGUAGCGCCUCGUGAAUUCAUCUCCGGGGGUAGAGCACUGUUUCGGCAAGGGGGUCAUCCCGACUUACCAACCCGAUGCAAACUGCGAAUACCGGAGAAUGUUAUCACGGGAGACACACGGCGGGUGCUAACGUCCGUCGUGAAGAGGGAAACAACCCAGACCGCCAGCUAAGGUCCCAAAGUCAUGGUUAAGUGGGAAACGAUGUGGGAAGGCCCAGACAGCCAGGAUGUUGGCUUAGAAGCAGCCAUCAUUUAAAGAAAGCGUAAUAGCUCACUGGUCGAGUCGGCCUGCGCGGAAGAUGUAACGGGGCUAAACCAUGCACCGAAGCUGCGGCAGCGACACUAUGUGUUGUUGGGUAGGGGAGCGUUCUGUAAGCCUGUGAAGGUGGCCUGUGAGGGUUGCUGGAGGUAUCAGAAGUGCGAAUGCUGACAUAAGUAACGAUAAAGCGGGUGAAAAGCCCGCUCGCCGGAAGACCAAGGGUUCCUGUCCAACGUUAAUCGGGGCAGGGUGAGUCGACCCCUAAGGCGAGGCCGAAAGGCGUAGUCGAUGGGAAACAGGUUAAUAUUCCUGUACUUGGUGUUACUGCGAAGGGGGGACGGAGAAGGCUAUGUUGGCCGGGCGACGGUUGUCCCGGUUUAAGCGUGUAGGCUGGUUUUCCAGGCAAAUCCGGAAAACCAAGGCUGAGGCGUGAUGACGAGGCACUACGGUGCUGAAGCGACAAAUGCCCUGCUUCCAGGAAAAGCCUCUAAGCAUCAGGUAACAUCAAAUCGUACCCCAAACCGACACAGGUGGUCAGGUAGAGAAUACCAAGGCGCUUGAGAGAACUCGGGUGAAGGAACUAGGCAAAAUGGUGCCGUAACUUCGGGAGAAGGCACGCUGAUAUGUAGGUGAAGCGACUUGCUCGUGGAGCUGAAAUCAGUCGAAGAUACCAGCUGGCUGCAACUGUUUAUUAAAAACACAGCACUGUGCAAACACGAAAGUGGACGUAUACGGUGUGACGCCUGCCCGGUGCCGGAAGGUUAAUUGAUGGGGUUAGCGGCAACGCGAAGCUCUUGAUCGAAGCCCCGGUAAACGGCGGCCGUAACUAUAACGGUCCUAAGGUAGCGAAAUUCCUUGUCGGGUAAGUUCCGACCUGCACGAAUGGCGUAAUGAUGGCCAGGCUGUCUCCACCCGAGACUCAGUGAAAUUGAACUCGCUGUGAAGAUGCAGUGUACCCGCGGCAAGACGGAAAGACCCCGUGAACCUUUACUAUAGCUUGACACUGAACAUUGAGCCUUGAUGUGUAGGAUAGGUGGGAGGCUUUGAAGUGUGGACGCCAGUCUGCAUGGAGCCGACCUUGAAAUACCACCCUUUAAUGUUUGAUGUUCUAACGUUGGCCCGUAAUCCGGGUUGCGGACAGUGUCUGGUGGGUAGUUUGACUGGGGCGGUCUCCUCCUAAAGAGUAACGGAGGAGCACGAAGGUUGGCUAAUCCUGGUCGGACAUCAGGAGGUUAGUGCAAUGGCAUAAGCCAGCUUGACUGCGAGCGUGACGGCGCGAGCAGGUGCGAAAGCAGGUCAUAGUGAUCCGGUGGUUCUGAAUGGAAGGGCCAUCGCUCAACGGAUAAAAGGUACUCCGGGGAUAACAGGCUGAUACCGCCCAAGAGUUCAUAUCGACGGCGGUGUUUGGCACCUCGAUGUCGGCUCAUCACAUCCUGGGGCUGAAGUAGGUCCCAAGGGUAUGGCUGUUCGCCAUUUAAAGUGGUACGCGAGCUGGGUUUAGAACGUCGUGAGACAGUUCGGUCCCUAUCUGCCGUGGGCGCUGGAGAACUGAGGGGGGCUGCUCCUAGUACGAGAGGACCGGAGUGGACGCAUCACUGGUGUUCGGGUUGUCAUGCCAAUGGCACUGCCCGGUAGCUAAAUGCGGAAGAGAUAAGUGCUGAAAGCAUCUAAGCACGAAACUUGCCCCGAGAUGAGUUCU